AACGUGUAAUCUCUCGCUGGUUGCACAAACGAGAGCGUGGUGGAGACAAUGCGUUGAGUUCAGCGAACACGGCCAAGUGAUGACAACAAAUUAUCUUAAUCGAGAUGAGGGAAUUGCAUCGUACUGUUUUCGACUCAACCUCCUCACCAGGACGAAGGUCUGCAGCCGAGAAUAUUCCAAGGACUUUUCCGGUACUGUCCGCAAGCUCGUACGAACUCGUACCACGCUUCGCGACAAUUACACAGGGCGUGUAGACCGGUCCAUAUUUCGCAUUGUAGUGCUCUGAGGCUGACGAAGGUUUGAAGUUCCGUUUGUAGACCUUCUGUCCUAUUCGAUUCACCACUAGAAAACUCCA
Armigeres subalbatus is the source of this 355-nucleotide long non-coding RNA. RefSeq lists it as uncharacterized. Lineage: Eukaryota; Metazoa; Arthropoda; Insecta; Diptera; Culicidae. The record is from RefSeq and is a predicted model, not a curated record. The transcript is spliced from 3 exons.